This 435-nucleotide ribosomal RNA is filed under the name uncultured bacterium. RNAcentral describes it as "bacterial SSU rRNA". It matches the Rfam family "Bacterial small subunit ribosomal RNA", at positions 43 to 524 of the family's 1533-position model. The record is from RNAcentral.
CAGGCCUAACACAUGCAAGUCGAGCGGGCCCUUCGGGGUCAGCGGCGGACGGGUGAGUAACGCGUGGGAACGUGCCUUCUGGUUCGGAAUAACUCAGGGAAACUUGAGCUAAUACCGGAUACGCCCUUUUGGGGAAAGGUUUACUGCCGGAAGAUCGGCCCGCGUCUGAUUAGCUAGUUGGUGGGGUAACGGCCUACCAAGGCGACGAUCAGUAGCUGGUCUGAGAGGAUGAUCAGCCACACUGGGACUGAGACACGGCCCAGACUCCUACGGGAGGCAGCAGUGGGGAAUAUUGGACAAUGGGCGCAAGCCUGAUCCAGCCAUGCCGCGUGAGUGAUGAAGGCCUUAGGGUUGUAAAGCUCUUUUAUCCGGGACGAUAAUGACGGUACCGGAGGAAUAAGCCCCGGCUAACUUCGUGCCAGCAGCCGCGGUAAU